UUGUUGGUAAGGUAAAGGCUUACCAAGGCUUCGAUCAGUAGCUGGUCUGAGAGGACGGCCAGCCACACUGGGACUGAGACACGGCCCAGACUCCUACGGGAGGCAGCAGUGGGGAAUUUUGGACAAUGGGGGAAACCCUGAUCCAGCCAUGCCGCGUGAGUGAAGAAGGCCUUCGGGUUGUAAAGCUCUUUCAGCCGGAACGAAACGGUUACGGAUAAUACCCGUGACUACUGACGGUACCGGAAGAAGAAGCACCGGCUAACUACGUGCCAGCAGCCGCGGUAAUACGUAGGGUGCGAGCGUUAAUCGGAAUUACUGGGCGUAAAGCGUGCGCAGGUGGUUUUGUAAGUCAGAUGUGAAAGCCCCGGGCUCAACCUGGGAACUGCGUUUGAAACUACAAGACUAGAGUGUGGCAGAGGGGGGUGGAAUUCCGCGUGUAGCAGUGAAAUGCGUAGAGAUGUGGAGGAACACCGAUGGCGAAGGCAGCCCCCUGGGUUAACACUGACACUCAGGCACGAAAGCAUGGGGAGCAAACAGGAUUAGAUACCCUGGUAGUCCAUGCCCUAAACGAUGUCAACUAGUUGUCGGGCCUUUACGGGCUUGGUAACGUAGCUAACGCGUGAAGUUGACCGCCUGGGGAGUACGAUCGCAAGAUUAAAACUCAAAUGAAUUGACGAAAACCCGCACAAGCGGUGGAUUAUGUGGAUUAAUUCGAUGCAACGCGAAAAACCUUACCUACCCUUGACAUGUAUCGAAGCCCGCAGAAAAGCGGGGGUGCCCGAAAGGGAACGAUAACACAGGUGCUGCAUGGCUGUCGUCAGCUCGUGUCGUGAGAUGUUGGGUUAAGUCCCGCAACGAGCGCAACCCUUGUCAUUAAUUGCCAUCAUUUAGUUGGGCACUUUAAUGAGACUGCCGG
RNAcentral lists this ribosomal RNA (916 nucleotides) under uncultured bacterium. RNAcentral describes it as "bacterial SSU rRNA". It matches the Rfam family "Bacterial small subunit ribosomal RNA", at positions 246 to 1155 of the family's 1533-position model. The record is from RNAcentral.